AUGAGGAUGAGAACCUCCGGGGGCGGGGAGGUUCGACUCGAGCGAAGCGAGAGAACGUUGCGCCAGCAACGGCCCGCAGGGCGAGCCACGAAGUGGCGAGUAAUCCUCUAUCACCGACCA
Molecule: small RNA, 120 nt
Filed under: Escherichia coli
Lineage: Bacteria; Pseudomonadati; Pseudomonadota; Gammaproteobacteria; Enterobacterales; Enterobacteriaceae
Also listed under: 1 other name
Description: partial RtT sRNA
Rfam family: RtT RNA
About the family: This family represents a bacterial cis-regulatory element known as RtT RNA. The exact function of RtT is unknown although it is thought that it may be involved in changing the cellular response in relation to amino acid starvation.
Source: RNAcentral